CCGGUCAUAUCACUCCAGAUGCAGUGAUCUCUUGUCCUGACAAUAAUGUGACGAUUUCUAAAAGAUUUAUGUGAUGAUGUAGCCUCCGAUUGUCGUCGACGUAAUGAUGUCCAGUUCGGUCUACCUCGCUGGAUAUUUCACACCAAAGAUAAUCGACUUUGUGAGGUGGAGAGUUCUCUCCAAACUACAACUCGGAGAGUCGGCGGCGGUAGAUGGGUACUUCAGCUGCCUGGGCGGCAAGGAGAACCAGGCCUUACCAGUAUAGUGAUAGCUGGCCAUUGGUUGUGGUGGCGAACAACGGUGGAUUUCUGGCGGCGGCAAUGGGUGCAUUUCGAUGGCAGUGUUUAAGUAAUUAAUGUGGUGGCUUCCUGAUUAUGUUAAUUAGGCCAUGUGUGCUCUGUUGCUUAGUGUCGGGUUUGCUUUGGCACAGAGAGUGCUUCCAAGUCAACUCCUAUGUUUGAUGAUCUAAGGUGAGCCCUGUCAAUCAUUCCAUUGUUGAAUCUAUGCAGUCAAAACAAGACCUUUCAUAUGUUAGUUAAUUCUUGCUUUCCAUUUUAUAUUUAUAUAGUUUGUAACUUCAUCUAUACUGGCGGAAAAUUUCAGACUUGCAAGUAAGAUGUUCAAGUGUGCAGCUAUAAGAAUAAAGUAGAGCCAAUGUUUUAUUCUUGCUAACCUGGCUGCCGCUAUUACCUGUUUGGUUGCUUGGCUUGGUGGAUUUUUAUGCCCCAUUUCCUAUUAGCUUCCUUAAUUCCUAAAUGUUUCCAUAGUUCAAAGUGAGGGUGCUCACGUCCUCCUCGGCCGUCCUACCUCCGACGACCUCACCAUCUUGAACGGAUCUGAAGCCUACUGUAAAACAGGGUCUUUUGUCAUGUCCGAUACAACAGCAAAUGGAGAUUCUCACAGAGAGCAAAUUUGGUUAAAUAUGAGGCCAGCGCACAGGAUACAGGCUCAGCUUAUGGUUAUGUUAACAAAACAGACAAGAUCCAGCGCUUCUUGAACUUGUCUUCUAUGAGGUCAAGCCUAUUCUAAGAUCUGCAUAGCAUCUGCAUCCUCACUUUGGCCGCACUUGGACAUGAAAGUCCUAUACAAUGUAAGGGAAUAUUAAACAACCUCGCCACCUCGGGUUGUUUUGAGUAGGCAUCAGAUAUGUUUGAAGCAUCCCAGCUUAAAGCAAGGCUAAGAUUCUUGUCAGCAUGUGACUUGAAAUUGCUUUAUGCUGCUGGUACAUGUUUGGUGUCGGUUAAUUUACAAAGCAAGAAGGCAAAUGAAUAAGACAACAACGAGGCAAUAUGUUAUAGUGGCUGAUUUGGAGGAAGGAUUUUAUAUUUUCUAGCUUCCCAUUAUGAUUGAUAAGAACAAUAGAUCAAUUUUCGUAUGGCCAGCAAACACAGGUGUCGAUUGAGCAUUCAACAUUAGCUUGCAGUUCACUGUCAUGGCAAUGAAGCUGCAAUUCACUAGCUUAGCCCUUCUCAUGAGGUAUUUCUUUUCCUUUGACCUGAAGUAGUAGUAAUAGUGGUUCCAUGAGGCUAGGAGGGUUUUCCAAUUAGCUAUCCCUGCCAUAUGAUGCUUUUAUGUAGGACAGAUGAUCAACUUAUGGCGCCCACUGAACUUUAGGAACUUUUAAUGAAGGAAAUUUGGUUUAGAUAGAGGUAGCAAUUUUUGUGAGUUGCAACAUUUUGGAGAAUUGAUUUGGAGUUUUCUUUUUGUCAGGAUAUUUGUUCACUCCAGUUAUCAACUUGCAUUCAGAUGGCUGAGACAUGGUGCCGGAUGCCAAUUUCUUUUGUUUAUAUCAUUUGCCUCAGUUAUUUAUGUAUGUUCGUCCUUGACAAUCUCUACUGUCAGAUGCUCUUGGAGGAUUAUUAUGGGGUUACAAUCAUGAGCAUUUAAUUUAAUAAAUUGCAUAAUAUUCGUGUAGUCAAUCUCAUCUCGCUGCAUAUUGGUUUGUUGUUUGUAUUGUUUCUAUUCGGUUCUGCAGUAGUAUAGUCCAAUUUCU
Molecule: long non-coding RNA, 1993 nt
Organism: Lolium rigidum
Lineage: Eukaryota; Viridiplantae; Streptophyta; Magnoliopsida; Poales; Poaceae
Exons: 10
Source: RefSeq, a predicted model, not a curated record